AACUUGGUGGAGUAUCCUCCACAAGGGGCGCACUUUGAUAUUCAACUCCUGCUUUUGAAUUGGAUUCUUCUGACAUUUCAUCAUUGGGUGGGAAACUUGGCAGAGUAUCAUCUACAACAGGUGCACUUUCUGAUUCAACUUCUGAUUUUGAAGUGGGUUCCUCUGAUCUUGCAUCAUUUGGUGGGAAACUUGACAGAGUAUCAUCGACAACUAGGGCUCUCUCAGAUUCAACUUCUGAUUUUGGAUGGGGUUCUUUUGAUAUAGUAUCAUUAGGUGGGAAACUUGACAGAGUAUCAUCUACAACGGGCCCAAUCUCCAAUUCAAUUUCUGAUUUUGAAUUGGGUUCUGAUAUUGCAUCAUU
RNAcentral lists this long non-coding RNA (361 nucleotides) under Malus domestica (apple). Its description in RNAcentral is "long non-coding RNA (MDOM_LNC005443)". Lineage: Eukaryota; Viridiplantae; Streptophyta; Magnoliopsida; Rosales; Rosaceae. The record is from RNAcentral.